Molecule: ribosomal RNA, 492 nt
Filed under: uncultured bacterium
Lineage: Bacteria
Description: partial 16S ribosomal RNA
Rfam family: Bacterial small subunit ribosomal RNA
Source: RNAcentral
AGUGAACGCUGGCGGUAGGCCUAACACAUGCAAGUCGAACGGCAGCACAGUAAGAGCUUGCUCUUACGGGUGGCGAGUGGCGGACGGGUGAGGAAUACAUCGGAAUCUACUUUUUCGUGGGGGAUAACGUAGGGAAACUUACGCUAAUACCGCAUACGACCUACGGGUGAAAGCAGGGGAUCUUCGGACCUUGCGCGAUUGAAUGAGCCGAUGUCGGAUUAGCUAGUUGGCGGGGUAAAGGCCCACCAAGGCGACGAUCCGUAGCUGGUCUGAGAGGAUGAUCAGCCACACUGGAACUGAGACACGGUCCAGACUCCUACGGGAGGCAGCAGUGGGGAAUAUUGGACAAUGGGCGCAAGCCUGCUCCAGUCAUACCGCGUGGGUGAAGAAGGCCUUCGGGUUGUAAAGCCCUUUUGUUGGGAAAGAAAAGCAGCAGGUUAAUACCCCGCUGUUCUGACGGUACCCAAAGAAUAAGCACCGGCUAACUUCGUG